This is a long non-coding RNA of Heterocephalus glaber (naked mole-rat), 5814 nucleotides long. NCBI's taxonomy places the organism in Eukaryota, Metazoa, Chordata, Mammalia, Rodentia, Bathyergidae. The record is from Ensembl.
CAGGACGCCUCUGUGGCCUAACUCUUGCAGAUGAUCGUUCCUACCUUUUGUGCGGACUGCUGAGACAUUAUAAUUCUAGUCCUACUAGAAUAAGCCUUAGUUUGGCGGGGAGCCACUGCUUCUCGCUAGCAAGCAGAGAAAGCUGCACAUGAGUGCUCCCCCUCCGGCAGGAUGCAAGAUAGUGCGGUCCUCGCCUCGCCAAGAAUAAGGCAAGCGAGAAGGGACGCACUUAUACCAACUCGCAAACCAAGAAGGCGAGGAUUUAGCUGUUGGCAGCGCCUCGGCGUUCCUCAAUAGAUGCCUGCGGGGAUCUCCCGAGAGGCGGAGAGCGAGCUUGGGCCCUGGCACCCUUCCCCCGCCGCAGAACCGCAGAAUGGGGGGAAUCAAAGCCACACUCAAGUACUCUCUGACGAUAUUGUCCCGAGUGCGUGGAAGGGCUGGCCUCUCUGGGAAUGGCCGCCUCCCUUGGAACAGAGGAUUCAGCAGCCACCAAGACCUUCCCUGGUCGCAGCCUUUCCCAGAGAGAUCUGGAGCUUCCGAGUGGGACCUUGGGCGCUCCUGACCCUGCCGCGGGGCGAAGGCUCUGACUGCCAUUCAGGUUGAAGCAGCGAAGUAGCGGCCUCCUGCCUCCUCCUCAAUCCUGGUAGAAGGAAGAAGAGUGCUGAUCUGUUUUUCCAGUCCACUGGACUGAGAGCAGAGGCUGCCUGAUCCCAGCCAAGCCACUUUUUGUCCUCCCAAGCUCUUCUGCUUUGAUGGGAUCCCGAUUUCUUUUUAAAAAUAAAAAAGUAGUGACGGGAAAUACACCAAAAUAUUCACAGUAGUUAACUACAAUGUAUUAUAUGUAUGUAACUUUCACUUUUUCGUUUUCAGUUUUUGCUUUAGAUGUGCCUAUUUUCUAUGUGUUUGCCAGAUUUUUACAGAAAGGGAUCCAUCAUAACCAGAAAAAAACUUAAGUAUUUAAAAUGCUUAUACAAUAUGAUCCCAGUAACAUAAACAUGCAUAGAAAAGAUGGGAAAGAAAUAUGAAGAAUUGUUAACAACAUGUUAUUUUUGAAUACUAGGAUAUGUUAUCCUGAUCUGUUUCACACUUUUCAAUAUUUUCCAUCUGGUAGAGGAAAUAAAAUAGAGUAAGAUAAACUAGGUCAUUUUGUUCAGUGGCCAAGAGGUACCAAAAUCAGAUAGUGAUUUCAAAAGCUCUUAGGAACUGUAAAGGAAGGUAAUGCAAUAUUUUUAUUAUGAAGUCAAGUUGGGAAUACUUCCUACUGUAAAGUACCAAAUCACUUUUGAGUAUUAGUCUUUCUGUAUGUAAAACUAUUUCUCCAUGGCAAAAGUAACUUGUAGAUAAGCUGCUAAAGAUUUCAGAACUACAAGUCAGAGUAAGCCCUACAGUGGCAAUAAAAUUCCAAACCCAUUCAGCCUGUCCACAAUAUUCCUGUUGUGAUGACUGCAGAACACACACUCAUGAGGUACUUGACUUCUUUCCCCACAGCUAAAUAAAGGAGAAAGAUUACCAUACUUGUCUCUCUGGACAUUUAUUAGUAAGGUUUGACUGAAUUAAUAAAGUCAAAAUAUCCUGCAGUUUCUGUGGAGAUAUGCCUUGACAUUUACAUCUGUGUGAAAAUCAAUAAAAUAUUUUUUCAAGCAGGCCCUAUAAACUUUUUCCUAUUUCUAUAAAAAAUUCAUGUCGUUUACUUGGCAAUCUUUUAAAAUGUCUAAAUAAACUUGUUAUAUUUUUUGUAAAUUUUAAUAAUAUUAUUAGUAAUAAUAUUAAAGAAAUAAAGGACUUUCUGCAGUGACAAGCUAAUGAGAUUACACAAGCUUUUUUGUGUAUAGCAACUUUUUUCAUUCUCAUAACAAUCCUCUGAAGACCAUAUCUCUGUUGAUAAAUAUGAGAAAAGGAAAGAACAGAGAUGUUAGAUAAAUAUUGUAACUCAUCAAUAAGAAGCUGGAAACUCAAUUCUUCUGAGCACCAGUUCAGGUACUCUAUCUCCCAUUAAUUGCCCUCUGAUACUGAAAUGGUUAAUAUAAUUUUAUACUUCUCUAGUAAUGUUUCAGUGCAUUUUUGUUACAGAAGUCUCAAAAAGAAUACAUAGGGCUGGGGAUUUAGCUCAGUGGUUUCGCCACCUGCUGCGCAAGGGCAGGGACCUGAGUUUGAUCCCCGGUACCAAAAAAAACAAAAACAAAAAAAAGAAUACAUAAAUUCUAUCUCCAUAAGCACUCAAAAAUGAAUUUUAUCUCACCCAUUAAAAAUAUCUAUGGAGCAUAAAACAGGUAGAAAUAAACUAACUUUUGUCUCUUGCAUAAAUUCCUAAAAGAUCUGUUGCUAAAGUGAAAUGGUGUCUGAGUUUCACAGGGAGGAAUUGGUGUAUUCUAUAUAUAUUCUCCUAUUACAAGUAGCAUGGGAAUAUUCAUAGAACAUAGAAUAGUUUGCAGAUAAUUACUAUUUUCUACUAUCAAGUAACUCUGGUGAGCCUUGCAGGUAUAUCAAGAACAUAAAUAGAUAGCUUUUAAAAUAAUUUAUUCUCAGAAAAACUUUAAUACUUGUAGCUCUUAGGUUCAAAAAAUCUUUCAGUAUAAUUUAAUAACUUUGCAUGGUGGUACAUUCGUGUAGUUAUAGCAUACUGGGAGGCUAAGGCAGGAAGAUCCCAAGUUUCAGCCCACCCUGGGCAACUUAGAGACAUAGUGAGACCAUAUAAAUACUACCUUAAAAGUGAUUUUAAAUAUUGGUUCUAUCAGUAAAUGUUUAAACAUGAUCAUGACUAUUGAACCACAUUAAAUCUUCAGUGUUUCUCAUAAAACAUAUCCAGGUAUAAAAUUUAAUAAUAAAUUCUCAGUUUUGAAUGCUCUGAAAGUGAAAAAAUAAAUGUUUAGUAGUACAGCUAAGAAAAUAAAUUAAUCAUUUUAAAUAAGUACAGCAUGUACAACAGUAUGUCAAUUUGGACUUAUUUUAUACCUCAGGUGUUUUGUCAAAUAAAAUAAAGGGAUAAACAGCAAUUAUGUUGGGAUAUGAUGUAAUCCUAUUUCACUGGACUCCAAAAGCUCAGGGUUGUUUUCUACAACCAAAGUUUUUACAUUAAUUACAGAGAUAUAUCAAGUAGUCUUGGUAAACUUUCUCAAUCACAAUAAAUCUAUUUACAUAAUCCAUACUUAUCCUAAGAAUCCUUCAUCUAAUCACCCUAGGCUUCUCUCUGAUAAUCUUGAAAGACGUUUCUUAAAUACUAAUGUUAACCUUCAGCAUUUCCUAGGUUUUCAUAUCCUCAUUAACACAAACUAAUAUUCUAGCCAACUUAUAAUGUGAAGAAUUACAAAUAAUUGAAUAAUUGUUUUGUACUGGGUCGAAUGAUGACAUAAAACAGCACAGAUGGGAAGAUAAAAUUUUGUAUGUCUCUCUAUAGGAAAUAGGAAUAUUUUUUUCUUUAGAGCAAUUCAAAAACAAAUAAGAGCCUCAAGAAUACUACUAACUCUGUUGAUCGUCUAGCAGAACAAUAAGAAUAGGGCCCUUGAGAAUUGUCUGAGUUUAUCGAAACUUCAUAUCUGCUUGUAUUACACCAAAGUAGACUAAUGUUAAUAUCUUAUUCUUAUACUCAAAUUCUUCUGAAAGCUUCUCUGCGCACCCUGAAAAUAUUAUUGGAUUCUCUUCAGUUUUCCUGUGUUCCCCAAAUGGUGUCCACUGCAAACAUUUGUUUUAUGUUGAGGAGCACUGGUCCAAAGACAAAAUCUGCGAGUCUAGGUAGUUUAAAAAUAAAAUUCUUCACACAAUUUUUCUGUUUUAGUUUUUUUGUUUUGUUUUGUUCCUUUUAGUGGAGUGGUUAAUAGGCCUUCCCCUAAAAAAAUAAAAUAAAAUUAGUCACUGAGGAUAUAACUUGAGGAUUGAUUCCUAUAUAUGACAUUUCAUGUAAAGGUUAUAACAAAAAUCAUAUGAUCUAAUACUAUAUAUAGGCAAAAGUAAGAUAUGUCUCCUUUCUAUGACAUUCUCUAGUGAGUUCCUCAAGUUCCUCAUUUCUGUCCCCAGGUCUCCUCAGUAACCGCCAACAUUGAUUCAUUGCUGCUUAAUGCCAAGUUGCCUAUGUAAUAAUUUCUUACAUUAUGGUCAUAACUGUUAACUUAUCACUGCAUUGCCUGCAAAGUAAUGUUUCAAUUGCUCAUCUUCAGCCAUGCUUGGGCUAUGAGGAACUCCUUAAAUGUCUCCACACUUCUCUCCAUCUUCCUCCCAAACUGUCAUACUUCUACAAAUGUUUCCCAAAUGAUAUCAUAAUUUUAAAGCCUUUCAAUCAUCAGAAAGACCCCCGUAACUAUCCUAGAAAAGAAGAAGACUGCCUGGACCAUGUGUGGCCUUGGACAUCCCAGAGAUUGACCACAUGGCUUAAAUCCUCUUGAGACUAAAUGCUAUAAAAUCUAAGAUUCUAAAUAAAAGGCAUAGUCAAGUCAAUAUAAUGAAUACCUAACUGUGCUGAAUUCUAAUUAUCCAUGACUCUUCUAUUUCCCAGCUUUUUCCUUGGUCAUGAACCAAAUGACCCACAUACUCCUGUAAUGACCCUCCUAUUUCUUGCUACCGGAAAACUUAACAACCUUAUUUUUCUCCUUAUUAUACAGUUCUUCUAAUAUAUUUAGCCAGCGAUGUGCUAAUAAAUGUACUAAACCACUUGUGCUCCAGGGAAGAUUAAAGGCUCUGAACUGUGUGUUUGCCCGUUUUCAUGUUAGAAAUACUCCUGAUUUCAACCUAUAUGAAAAUGAAGUUGGAAAUAGUUGUUCAGUUUUUCAGUAGCAACUAUAUAAUAUUUUCAUCAAACAGGUGUAAUAGACGCAAAUAACUUCAAGAACAUAGAGUGUAGUAAUUAAGAGGUGAUGAGUUCUGAAUAUGUAUUACUUUUGUUUUUAAUAUAAUUCACUGAACCCUAAGUUUCUGUAUAUUCAUUUUUAAUAUGCCCAUGCUUAACAGCAGACUGGAAAAACUUUUCUGCUGGAAGAAUAUGUGCAUUCUACAUAUUAUCUAUUGAAACUCAACAUCCAUUUAUAUCCUCUUUCAAAUCAGAAAUAGAUGACUAAAGUUUAUAUUUCUCAGAAUUUCUUGAAGCUGGCACUUUGCAAGUAAUUCAGGUUCUUUUGAAGAUAUUACCUUGUAUGAGAUUUGAAAGGUAGAAAGAAGCAUAAAUUAUUCUUCCUGCAACUCUGCUGGCCAAUGGACAAGCUCUGGUAAACUGAGUAUUAAAUGACUAAUUCAAAUUCCCCUUUCUAGUCUCCAGUUUUAUGGAAGAUGGACAACUGCCUAAUGACUAUCCCUGACUUCAGCUAGAAGGACCUUACAUUGCUUUGAGUACCUAAUUCCCUGCAUUAAAUAUCUUUCUGGUUAAAGUCUCUAAAGUGUUUGUUAUUGUCAUUGUUGUUUCUGCACUAAACCCUAAGAUAACACGCAUCCUUGGCAUCUGCUUUUUCCUUCUGUGACAUCAAAAAGAAACAUCAGUCCCCAGCGAGAGAGAGAGAGAGAGAGAGAGAGAGAGAGAGAGAGAGAAAUCACCAGCCCAAGUAUAGCCCUAGUUAGUCUUUUAGUCUGUUUGCCUACAUUAUUCCUGAUUUAAAUUUUUCCCUGAUGGUACUUUAUAUUUCAUUCACAUCCUGAGAUUAUGCUGUGAUAUUAAUCAAUUACUACUCUAUAAUUUCUUUUAGUAAACCUUGGAAAGAGUCAAAGAAAUGAAUGUUUAAGUAAGGAGAGAAGGGAAAUAACAAUUCUUGUUUAUUAUUACUAUUUUUAUAACAUCAGAGACUUGACAUUUUCUACUUGUUCGCUUUUUUUAUAUUUAUUUAUACUAUGCUGCCU